UCCUGAGGUCUCAGCCCUAGAUCAGGAGA
This 29-nucleotide non-coding RNA is filed under the name Rattus norvegicus (Norway rat). The record is from RNAcentral. Lineage: Eukaryota; Metazoa; Chordata; Mammalia; Rodentia; Muridae.